This 305-nucleotide ribosomal RNA is filed under the name uncultured bacterium. RNAcentral describes it as "bacterial SSU rRNA". It matches the Rfam family "Bacterial small subunit ribosomal RNA", at positions 335 to 657 of the family's 1533-position model. The record is from RNAcentral.
GGCCCUACGGGACGCAGCAGUGGGGGAUAUUGCACAAUGGGGGAAACCCUGAUGCAGCGACGCCGCGUGAGUGAAGAAGUAUUUCGGUAUGUAAAGCUCUAUCAGCAGGGAAGAAAAUGACAGUACCUGACCAAGAAGCCCCGGCUAACUACGUGCCAGCAGCCGCGGUAAUACGUAGGGGGCAAGCGUUAUCCGGAUUUACUGGGUGUAAAGGGAGCGUAGGCGGCCUGGCAAGCCUGAUGUGAAAUACCGGGGCCCAACCCCGGGGCUGCAUUGGGAACUGCCAGGCUGGAGUGCCGGAGAGG